Molecule: transfer RNA, 32 nt
Filed under: Microchera albocoronata
Lineage: Eukaryota; Metazoa; Chordata; Aves; Apodiformes; Trochilidae
Description: tRNA-Leu
Source: RNAcentral
ACUUUUAAAGGAUAGCAGUCAAUCCACUGGUC